Molecule: long non-coding RNA, 428 nt
Filed under: Mytilus galloprovincialis (Mediterranean mussel)
Lineage: Eukaryota; Metazoa; Mollusca; Bivalvia; Mytilida; Mytilidae
Source: RNAcentral
GGAUCAUCUUCAAAUUGAAUUACUUAGUAAUAUCAAACUUUUUUUAAUUCUUCUUAUCAUGUAAGUCUUUUCGACGAGAAACAAAUGCAGCGGAUAUGGUCAUGACAAUUUUUAAUCGCCACAACGUUAUAUUUGUUUUAUACUCCGAUGACGUAUUUAACUUCAAGAAUGUUUUUUUUUUAUUUUCUUUACUUCGCCUGCAUAAUCUAUGAUUUGUCUUGUAUAAGGUAUCUGUUCGGAUAUAUUUUGUUGCACUCAACAUAAAAUAUACUGUCUUCGUACGAUAUUACAACUUGAGUGUGACUGCAGUGAUACUGUAUGUUUCCUGAAAUAAACAAUUUUUCCUAUCGUUUUGUUAUCACAUGUACCAAUACAUUUCAGUUGAAUGUUCGUUGAUGGAAACGGAAGGUUUUACUGUACACUUUGUA